UGGGGAAUAUUGCACAAUGGGCGAAAGCCUGAUGCAGCAACGCCGCGUGAGUGAUGAAGGCCUUCGGGUUGUAAAGCUCUGUCUUUUGGGACGAUAAUGACGGUACCAAAGGAGGAAGCCACGGCUAACUACGUGCCAGCAGCCGCGGUAAUACGUAGGUGGCAAGCGUUGUCCGGAUUUACUGGGCGUAAAGGAUGCGUAGGCGGAUUUUUAAGUGAGAUGUGAAAACCCUAAGCUUAACUUGGGGACUGCAUUUCAUACUGGAGAUCUAGAGUGCGGGAGAGGAGAAUGGAAUUCCUAGUGUAGCGGUGAAAUGCGUAGAGAUUAGGAAGAACACCAGUGGCGAAGGCGAUUCUCUGGACCGUAACUGACGCUGAGGCAUGAAAGCGUGGGUAGCAAACAGGAUUAGAUACCCUGGUAGUCCACGCCGUAAACGAUGAGUACUAGGUGUAGGAGGUAUCGACCCCUUCUGUGCCGCAGUUAACACAAUAAGUACUCCGCCUGGGAAGUACGAUCGCAAGAUUAAAACUCAAAGGAAUUGACGGGGUC
RNAcentral lists this ribosomal RNA (549 nucleotides) under uncultured bacterium. RNAcentral describes it as "partial 16S ribosomal RNA". It matches the Rfam family "Bacterial small subunit ribosomal RNA", at positions 355 to 920 of the family's 1533-position model. The record is from RNAcentral.